Molecule: ribosomal RNA, 253 nt
Filed under: uncultured bacterium
Lineage: Bacteria
Description: partial 16S ribosomal RNA
Rfam family: Bacterial small subunit ribosomal RNA
Source: RNAcentral
GACGGAAGGUGCAAGCGUUGCUCGGAAUCAUUGGGCGUAAAGCGCGUGUAGGCGGCCCGAUAAGUCCGCUGUGAAAGUCCAGGGCUCAACCCUGGGAUGCCGGUGGAUACUGUCGGGCUCGAGUCCGGAAGAGGCGAGUGGAAUUCCUGGUGUAGCGGUGAAAUGCGCAGAUAUCAGGAGGAACACCAAUGGCGAAGGCAGCUCGCUGGGACGUGACUGACGCUGAGACGCGAAAGCGUGGGGAGCAAACAGG